AGAAUUCAAUCAUUAUUAAUUAGUAUACUUCUAAUUAUCAACUUAUAAUAGAUGUUAUCCAAAGGCUAAUCUCAUAUAUUGAGUUGAAAUGUUAACCAAGAAUGCUGAUAAUAUAAAGGAUUUACUCACUUGUAAUCUUCAGCCAGAUUCCUGAGCUCAUAAAGCUGAAUUGAAAAUCCUCUCUCUUUUUCAAGCCUAGUGUUGAAGAUGCCAUGUCUGUUGUGACUAGCACAGUCUUACCAAAUCUGAGGCAACUCAGAGUGACCUUGAGGACCAUGAAGUACCCACUGAUGGCCAUGAUGUUGCGUUGCAAUGAUCCUGGAGAUGCUGGAUGCUGUGCCAGGUGAUAGAAGCACUGUUAGCAGAUCACAGAUCAGGC
Molecule: long non-coding RNA, 379 nt
Filed under: Equus caballus (horse)
Lineage: Eukaryota; Metazoa; Chordata; Mammalia; Perissodactyla; Equidae
Description: lncRNA (ENSECAG00000048075.1)
Source: RNAcentral